This 614-nucleotide long non-coding RNA is filed under the name Coturnix japonica (Japanese quail). RNAcentral's name for it is "lncRNA (ENSCJPG00005004232.1)". Lineage: Eukaryota; Metazoa; Chordata; Aves; Galliformes; Phasianidae. The record is from RNAcentral.
GGGUUGCUGGCUGCUAGAUCAAGCAUUAUGUAUCUAUACUUAUACCUAUACCUAUACUUAUAUUUGUAUCUAUAGAACACAUGAGAGUAUGUAUGCACAUGUGUGUGGUGUGUAUAUACUGGAAAGGUCUUUGCAUAUUUGGAAAAAUCCUCUGUACUGUGCAAAGCAGACAGGCAGUCAAACAUUCGGCAAGGAUUCCAGGCGCUGUGAAGGUGAAGCACUGGGACCUGGAGGUACUGAGUUGCUCAGAGUCAUAUGGGUUAUAGCAAAGAUGGGUGCUGAACCUGUGGUCCUAUAUGCUCAUCAAGGAGAGCUCUGAAAUGGAGUUUUAUAAAUAUGAGCACCUGAGAAGAGAGGAUUACAGAUCCUGUGGCCCAGAUUUACUCCUGACAGAGACCAGCUGAAGAAAACAUUGUCAAAUGCAAACAGGGAUGAACUUGCUCUGUGUCUGAUACAAACGUUCACAGAGGAUGUUGCAAGGAUGGUCUUAGCUCAGCACUCAGCCUGUGAGUGACAAGGGAAAACGUUGGGGGUUACAGGAGCAAUUGGGUGGUGAUGUUGAUAGGGACGUGGCAAGUUGCCUUUUGCUCAAAUUCUUGUUGGUCCAGUUCCAG